UUUCUUUGUCACCAUUCAAGGCCUAACUUUAUUGGUGGAGUCUCAUUCUUUGGUAUUAUUUCAACUAACAUUAUUAAUAGAGUCUCAUUUUUUGGUACUAUUAAAUUAUUGACGGUGAAAUCCGGUGUCCGUACUGUGAAAUCAAAUUCAUACGAGUGGGAGUAAAUCAAAUUCACAAGUCAUUUUACAAGUAACUGCAACUCUCUUCAUUUGAUAUUUGUCAUAAGUCCCAAUUCUUUCACUUUUACUAUCAAAACUCCACAGAACAAAAAGAAAUCGAUAGAAAAAGAAAAACAAAAAAACAUUCUGCUUCAGAACUGCUCUACACUUUUCCCCACGAUCUCACAUCCUCCACUUUCCCUCCAAUUACAACAAUGGAACAACAUUAUUUCCUACAAAAAGACUCCACAUCUCUUACUUUUUCUGAUUCCGGUUUCUGCAACAUCAAUCGGAAAAUAAACUGCUUAUUUUGUUGAUCAUUCAUCGCGUCUAAGUAUUUUACGAAAUUGGCUUUGUUAUUUUCUUUAUGGGUUCCAUUAGAUCAUGGCUUUUCGUGAUUUUAUUGUUGCUUUGGCUUUGAUUCUUGAGUUACAACCUUUUGUGUCAGUUGUCAUUUCAUGUCUCUGAUUUUAAGGUCUAUCAUCGAUUGAUAGAAGGUAUAACCUUUUUCUUGCUCAUUCUAUUUUCUCAUAUUUAAUGCCCAUUGAUUAUCAAAAUCACUUCUCAUGAUUUUAAUCAACUUCUAUAUCUGGAUCUCUUAUUAGAUUCAGGAUUCUAUUUAUUAAUUCAUCUUGAGAGAACCCAUUCUCUUGAACUGUACGGCAAUGGGAGAUGAGACACCUUCUCGGCUACUUUGUUCUUCAUGUAAGUUGAGGAAUGAAUAAGAAGCAUGGAGAUUACCUAAAUUACAAUUUGUGCCAGUGGAAGCUUCUCAGGUAGAACCAGCACGACAAGACAACCAAAAACCUCAAAGCUAUCUCAAUGUUUCCCAACAAAUCCACGAAGAUCUACUGGCAUAAUAAAGACCAGAAAGAAGAACCAAUAAUAAAGACUACGAAGAUCUACUAUAAAAAGUUUUUCCUUAACCGAGAAGAGAACUUAGUAGAACUAGUAAUAUCCUUUUUAUGUGCUUCGAGUAGAUAAUCUUAGUAAAGAUAUCAGAUAUUAGAUGGCAUUCUGGAUUCUGUAGCCAGUGAGAUAUGAAAAGAAGCCUGUCAUAAAUAAAUGUGUUUUUUCUCUAAGUCUUAAUGCCAUUGUUCUCAAAAGAUAUUCAGAUA
Molecule: long non-coding RNA, 1277 nt
Organism: Arabidopsis lyrata subsp. lyrata
Lineage: Eukaryota; Viridiplantae; Streptophyta; Magnoliopsida; Brassicales; Brassicaceae
Exons: 2
Source: RefSeq, a predicted model, not a curated record